RNAcentral lists this ribosomal RNA (300 nucleotides) under uncultured bacterium. Its description in RNAcentral is "bacterial SSU rRNA". It matches the Rfam family "Bacterial small subunit ribosomal RNA", at positions 775 to 1067 of the family's 1533-position model. The record is from RNAcentral.
GGAUUAGAUACCCUGGUAGUCCACGCCGUAAACGAUGUGCACUAGAUCGGUGCGGGUCUGACCCCGUGCCGGUCGGAGAGAAAUUGUUAAGUGCACCGCCUGGGGAGUACGGUCGCAAGGCUAAAACUCAAAGGAAUUGACGGGGGCUCAUACAAGCGGUGGAGCAUGCUGCUUAAUUCGAAGCAACGCGAAGAACCUUACCAGGGUUUGACAUGCACGGAUUAGUUCUUGGAAACAUGAAUGACGCUCGCAAGAGUGGAACGUGCACAGGUGCUGCAUGGCUGUCGUCAGCUCGUGCCG